GACGAACGCUGGCGGCGUGCUUAACACAUGCAAGUCGAACGGUAAGGCCCUUCGGGGUACACGAGUGGCGAACGGGUGAGUAACACGUGGGUGAUCUGCCCUGCACUUCGGGGUAAGUCUGGGAAACUGGGUCUAAUACCGGAUAGGACCACUGCAUGCAUGGGUGGUGGUGGAAAGCGUUUGCGGUGUGGGAUGGGCGCGCGGCCUAUCAGCUUGUUGGUGGGGUGAUGGCCUACCAAGGCGACGACGGGUAGCCGGCCUGAGAGGGUGACCGGCCACACUUGGACUGAGAUACGGCCCAGACUCCUACGUGAUGCAGUAGUGGGGAAUAUUGCACAAUGGGCGCAAGCCUGAUGCAGCGACGCCGCGUGAGGGAUAACGGCCUUCGGGUUGUAAACCUCUUUCAGCACCGACGAAGCGCAAGUGACGGUAGGUGCAGAAGAAGGACCGGCCAACUACGUGCCAGCAGCCGCAGUAA
This 478-nucleotide ribosomal RNA is filed under the name uncultured bacterium. RNAcentral's name for it is "partial 16S ribosomal RNA". It matches the Rfam family "Bacterial small subunit ribosomal RNA", at positions 28 to 523 of the family's 1533-position model. The record is from RNAcentral.